AGAGKUUKRAWUCAUGGCUCAGGAUGAACGCUGGCGGCGUGCCUAAUACAUGCAAGUCGAACGCUUUGUGGUUCAACUGAUUUGAAGAGCUUGCUCAGAUAUGACGAUGGACAUUGCAAAGAGUGGCGAACGGGUGAGUAACACGUGGGAAACCUACCUCUUAGCAGGGGAUAACAUUUGGAAACAGAUGCUAAUACCGUAUAACAAUGACAACCGCAUGGUUGUUAUUUAAAAGAUGGUUCUGCUAUCACUAAGAGAUGGUCCCGCGGUGCAUUAGCUAGUUGGUAAGGUAAUGGCUUACCAAGGCGAUGAUGCAUAGCCGAGUUGAGAGACUGAUCGGCCACAAUGGGACUGAGACACGGCCCAUACUCCUACGGGAGGCAGCAGUAGGGAAUCUUCCACAAUGGGCGAAAGCCUGAUGGAGCAACGCCGCGUGUGUGAUGAAGGGUUUCGGCUCGUAAAACACUGUUGUAAGAGAAGAAUGACAUUGAGAGUAACUGUUCAAUGUGUGACGGUAUCUUACCAGAAAGGAACGGCUAAAUACGUGCCAGCAGCCGCGGUAAUACGUAUGUUCCAAGCGUUAUCCGGAUUUAUUGGGCGUAAAGCGAGCGCAGACGGUUAUUUAAGUCUGAAGUGAAAGCCCUCAGCUCAACUGAGGAAUUGCUUUGGAAACUGGAUGACUUGAGUGCAGUAGAGGAAAGUGGAACUCCAUGUGUAGCGGUGAAAUGCGUAGAUAUAUGGAAGAACACCAGUGGCGAAGGCGGCUUUCUGGACUGUAACUGACGUUGAGGCUCGAAAGUGUGGGUAGCAAACAGGAUUAGAUACCCUGGUAGUCCACACCGUAAACGAUGAGUGMUAGGUGUUUGAGGGUUUCCGCCCUUAAGUGCCGCAGCUAACGCAUUAAGCAYUCCCSSGCCCA
This 919-nucleotide ribosomal RNA is filed under the name Weissella confusa. Its description in RNAcentral is "bacterial SSU rRNA". Lineage: Bacteria; Bacillati; Bacillota; Bacilli; Lactobacillales; Lactobacillaceae. The record is from RNAcentral.